AUCACGUAUCUCAUAAUUUUGUUAAUAUUUCUAAAUUAAUCAUUUCUAUAUUUAGCCUAUUUUUUCUAAAAAUAGUAUAUAAAAGCGAAGAUUUUCUUAACAUAAUUGCAAUAAAAAAUGGAAACAAAUUUCUAUCUUGUAGGACUUUUAUAUACUUUGAUUAUUAUAAUGAUCAUGAGUCACUGGAACGAGGGAUGCCCUAACUAUAUCUAUGAUCCACAAAGCAAAGAACUACAAAGACAGCUCAGUUAUUUAAAAAAAUUUGAUAAGACCACAUUUUGCCACGAUUAUUGCACCUCAAAUGAGUAUUUAUGCUGUAUGUGUUGAAUUUGCCAACUCUGCUAAGGGUGCUAUCGAAUUUAUUUCAAGAUAUACACUAUUUUAUUAUAUUAAAAAAUAAAUGAAUUUGGGGAUUUAUGAAAGAAAAAUUUAUUUGUAAAAAUUUAAACCCAUUUGUAUUAUAUUAAUUUUUGUA
Gordionus sp. m RMFG-2023 is the source of this 475-nucleotide long non-coding RNA. RefSeq lists it as uncharacterized. The record is from RefSeq and is a predicted model, not a curated record. The transcript is spliced from 3 exons. NCBI's taxonomy places the organism in Eukaryota, Metazoa, Nematomorpha, Gordioida, Chordodea, Parachordodidae.